GACAGAGGGUGCAAACGUUGUUCGGAAUUACUGGGCGUAAAGCGUGUGUAGGCGGCUUUGCAAGUCGGAUGUGAAAGCCCCGGGCUCAACCCGGGAAGUGCACUCGAUACUGCAGAGCUUGAGUGUCGGAGAGGUUGGUGGAAUUCCCGGUGUAGCGGUGAAAUGCGUAGAGAUCGGGAGGAACAUCAGUGGCGAAGGCGGCCAUCUGGGACAACACUGACGCUGAAGCACGAAAGCGUGGGGAGCAAACAGG
This 253-nucleotide ribosomal RNA is filed under the name uncultured bacterium. RNAcentral's name for it is "partial 16S ribosomal RNA". It matches the Rfam family "Bacterial small subunit ribosomal RNA", at positions 524 to 776 of the family's 1533-position model. The record is from RNAcentral.